AUAGUAACUGGAAUACUGAAGAAAUAAUAAGCGACAUUCUCAGCUUCUCAAGUCUGAGGGUGUCCCUUGGGCAAACUGGACUCUGAUGAUAUUAAGCAGAGGGCUGAAGGGAAGGGUCCUCCUGAGGAGGGAGGCCUUCCAAAUGGAAGUUUCUUUCUCCCUCUACCUAUUCUCCAUGAGGUAACUGCCCAGAACAUCAUCAUCCAAGCUAUCCACGCACGCUUCUCUGUGCUUCACAAGCAGAGGCCCCAGUGGAAGAGACCCUGGCCUGUAUCCACCUCUCUCAAGGAAAUGAAGGAAAAAGGACUGUGCAGCACAUAUACUUAAAAUAAAAGAAGAAGAAGAAGAAGGAAAAAGGACUAAAGCCCAACAACUUAUGUAAACUAUGUUUACUACGCACCUCAGCCGUGAAGUCGGGAUGAGGGCAACGUGGCCUCAGAGGGCUGCCAUUAGGAUUCAAGGAGAUGACACAGGUCAGCAAGCUCUUUCUUCAUAAACAGUCCCCAAAGAACAGCCAGCCCAGUUUCUGUCAGGAGGGUCGCAAAUCUAGCCUCAGUGGGGGAUCGGAAUGAAAAGAGAUUGGACUCAACUUCUCCGGUAGCUGGGUGGCGGAGGAAGCCCUCAUGAGCUCAUUUCUCCAUCAAAUACAAGCUGGGGUCUAAAGUUUCAAAACACAGGCUGGGGCAUGCUGGCACAGUCCCACGAGAGGACAAAGAAAAGAGAAAAGAGGCUGGAUGGAAGAGAAGCCACCACACGGCAGGUUCCACAACUAACUGUCGGGAGGAGGCUCCCAGGCUGGCUUCCAGCCACAUCCGCUCUCUGCACAGCUCUGAGACUGCAGGAAGAAGGGACCCCCACCAUGUCUGUAUUUACAGCUGGGAACUGGCAUGGGCACGGGAAACUCGGAAAUAAACUCUGUCAGGAAGCGAGAACUGGAAGAUGCUUCCAUAGCAACGCCCAUCUGGAGCUCCCUGCCCGCAGCUGGAAACAUUCAGAAGCGAAGCUUAUCUAGAGAUGUCCACCAAAUUCAUUUUUUCCAUUUGCACCUGGAAUAUGUUACUUAAACUUCACUUCUCUGGGGAGCCUCUGGGAAGCCCCUAUUCUUUGGCUCAAAAAAAUCCUAUCCUGAACAUUUAGGACACAGGACUCAUCAGGGUGGCUGUGUGUUUCUCCCUCUCUCUGUGGAGAGGUGGGCUGUGUCUGCCUUGUUCACUGGUACCUGGCCCAGAACAGGUCUUUAAUCCAUGCUUCCUGAUUAAAGAAGUCAACUGGUUUGUUCUCGAUUUGGUUAUUCAUAACUUUAGCUACCAUGUAAGCACCUGUAUGCACAUGGCAAUGAACUGAGAUGCACGACACCCCAUGAGGGACUUACUACUGUUACGCCCACUUUGAAAAUGAGGCUCCUUCUCAAGGUCAAAGCCACAAAAGAACUGGAGUUCUUUCAUCUCAAGAGAAGGAUAGGAGAGAGUGUGACUAUCUAUCUAAAGUAGGGCUGGACAGGUAGAGGGACAUAUAAUGAAUCGGCUCUGACACUAAGAACUUUUUGAGUAGAAAUGUUAUAGAGCUGGAGUGUAUCCCUCAUCAAGGAACUCUGGAACACAUGCUUCUUGGGACACAAACAUUAAACAGCCUGCUACAUCCCGGGAGAAUUCUACCCAACCUUCCCAGAAACCACAGCUCAUAUGAUUCCUUACCUUUAACAUAUUUUUUUCUGCUUAUGAAAGCAAUAUAUGCUUAUAUAUGCAUAUGAAAAAAACUUGGAAAAUAAAGAAAGUGCAAAGAAGAAUAUAAAGUUACCCAUCAUCUUCCCACCAAGGGAUAACCACUGUAAAGAUGUUGGUUUAUUUCCUUCCAGUCUUUUUUUUCUAGUGUGAACAGUGUGUGUAUAGGAGAGAUAUGGAAAGACAGAUUUUUCCCCCCCUUAAAGUCUCCUACCUGUGCUUUUCUGUGAGACUUUUAAACAUCAAGUGAAAAAUAAUAUUUUCAAAUGGCAAAAUUAAGCCUAUUUCCUCAAACUACAGACGUGGGGAGGAAGGAGCCUUCCCUGUUCCUCUCCUCCAAUUUCUGCUUCCACCUGACCCCUACUACAGACCAGCAGUUCUCAAUCCUAACUGUGCCUGACCAUAACAGUAACUGCCACAGU
This is a long non-coding RNA of Herpailurus yagouaroundi (jaguarundi), 2143 nucleotides long. RefSeq lists it as uncharacterized. The transcript has 3 exons. NCBI's taxonomy places the organism in Eukaryota, Metazoa, Chordata, Mammalia, Carnivora, Felidae. The record is from RefSeq and is a predicted model, not a curated record.